This is a non-coding RNA of Castor canadensis (American beaver), 494 nucleotides long. Lineage: Eukaryota; Metazoa; Chordata; Mammalia; Rodentia; Castoridae. The record is from the annotation of a RefSeq genome assembly.
GCAUCAUGAGGAGGCUGUUGGGCUCUCUGCUGGGACUUUUGUGCACCCAGGUUUGCUGUGUGAGAGGGAUGCAGGUGGAGCAGAGUCCUUCAACCUUGAUUCUCCAAGAGGGAAACAAUUCCACCCUGCAGUGCAAUUUUUCUUCCUCUGUGAACAAUGUGCAGUGGUUUCUCCAAAAUCCUGGAGGACGCCUCAUCAACCUGUUUUCCGUUCCUUCAGGAACAAAGCGGAAUGGAAGACUAACGGCCACAACAGUCACCAAGGAACGCCGCAGCUCACUGUACAUUUCCUCUUCCCAGACCACAGACUCUGCCACUUAUUUCUGUGCUGUGGACCCACACUGCUCCCCAGGAACUUGUAGCCCAUACACAAACCCUCAGCUGGGUGGAGCACCUUCACAGCCACAGACACCACAAGACCACCUCAGCAGCAUUUGUUGUUCAGUGUCUCUUACCUACAUUGGCAGUUUUACUCACAAAUAUUUUUGCCCGUAG